This 255-nucleotide ribosomal RNA is filed under the name uncultured bacterium. Its description in RNAcentral is "partial 16S ribosomal RNA". It matches the Rfam family "Bacterial small subunit ribosomal RNA", at positions 524 to 776 of the family's 1533-position model. The record is from RNAcentral.
UACAGAAGGUGCGAGCGUUAUUCGUUAUUACUGGGCGUAAAGGGUAUGUAGGUGGGGUAGAAAAUUUUGCUCGAAAACCUGGAGUCUUAACUUCAGAAGCAAGCUUUUAGAUUACUACUCUUCGAGUUAAUAUCGGGUCGGAGGAACUUUCAGGGAAAAGGUAGAAUUUCGCAAUUCUGGAAGGAACGCCAAAGGCAAAGGCAUCUCUCUAGUGUUAACUGACGCUGAGGUACGGAGGCGUAGGGAUCAAACAGG